RNAcentral lists this ribosomal RNA (52 nucleotides) under Parmotrema tinctorum. Its description in RNAcentral is "partial 28S ribosomal RNA". The record is from RNAcentral. Lineage: Eukaryota; Fungi; Ascomycota; Lecanoromycetes; Lecanorales; Parmeliaceae.
GACCUCGGAUCAGGAAGGGAUACCCCCCGAACUUACAGCAUAUCAUUAAGUG